UACGGGAGGCAGCAGGGGGAAUAUUGCACAAUGGGCGCAAGCCUGAUGCAGCCAUGCCGCGUGUAUGAAGAAGGCCUUCGGGUUGUAAAGUACUUUCAGUCGUGAGGAAGGUGUUAAGGUUAAUAACCUUAGCAAUUGACGUUAGCGACAGAAGAAGCACCGGCUAACUCCGUGCCAGCAGCCGCGGUAAUACGGAGGGUGCGAGCGUUAAUCGGAAUUACUGGGCGUAAAGGGCACGCAGGCGGUUAAUUAAGUUGGAUGUGAAAUCCCCGGGCUUAACCUGGGAAUGGCAUUCAAGACUGGUUAGCUAGAGUCUUGUAGAGGGGGUAGAAUUCCAUGUGUAGCGGUGAAAUGCGUAGAGAUGUGGAGGAAUACCGGUGGCGAAGGCGGCCCCUGGACAAAGACUGACGCUCAUGUGCGAAAGCGU
RNAcentral lists this ribosomal RNA (427 nucleotides) under uncultured bacterium. Its description in RNAcentral is "bacterial SSU rRNA". It matches the Rfam family "Bacterial small subunit ribosomal RNA", at positions 340 to 762 of the family's 1533-position model. The record is from RNAcentral.